Molecule: ribosomal RNA, 500 nt
Filed under: uncultured bacterium
Lineage: Bacteria
Description: partial 16S ribosomal RNA
Rfam family: Bacterial small subunit ribosomal RNA
Source: RNAcentral
GACGAACGCUGGCGGCGUGCUUAACACAUGCAAGUCGAACGGGUCUGCCCUGUUUUUUGCGGGGUGGGUCAGUGGCGAACGGGUGAGUAACACGUGAGUAACCUGCCCCUCACUUCUGGAUAACCGCUUGAAAGGGUGGCUAAUACGGGGUGUUCUGGCUGUGCCGCAUGGUGUGGCUGGGAAAGAUUCACUUUUGUGGUGUUUUGGUGGGGGAUGGGCUCGCGGCCUAUCAGCUUGUUGGUGGGGUGAUGGCCUGGCAAGGCUUUGACGGGUAGCCGGCCUGGGAGGGUGGGCGGUCACAGUGGGACUGAGAUACGGCCCAGACUCCUGCGGGAGGCAGCAGGGGGGGGUAUUGCACAAUGGGCGGAAGCCUGAUGCAGCGACGUCGCGUGAGGGAUGGAGGCCUUCGGGUUGUGAACCUCUUUCGCCGGUGAAGAAGGUCCUGCUCUUUGGGGUGGGGUUGACGGUAGCCGGGUUAUGAAGCGCCGGCUAACUACGUG